Molecule: long non-coding RNA, 933 nt
Filed under: Calidris pygmaea (Spoon-billed sandpiper)
Lineage: Eukaryota; Metazoa; Chordata; Aves; Charadriiformes; Scolopacidae
Description: lncRNA (ENSCPGG00000006693.1)
Source: RNAcentral
GGUUAGUUGGCACGGGCCAGAGUGUGCUCCCAAUGAAGGAGUGGGCCAUGGGUUCUCCUGCAGCUCUGAUGAACCUCUGCUCUUCCAGGGCAGCCACCUCUCCUGACCCAGCUCCUCCAGCACAAUCUGGGGAUUAAACUUGUCCGACAGAAGAACAUAGCCGUAGAGAAGCGACACUUCUCCAUCCCUCUCAAAGCCAGCCGCAAGGUCACGUCGCAUCUCCCCAAAGUCAAGAAGAGGCCACUGAUGCUGGAAGUUCCUGCCGAGACCUUUCCUUGGAAACAGCUCCCAGCUGCAGUGGAAACUGCGAGAGAUGUGGCACCUCCAAGUCUGGCCCAGCCUCUGCACCCCGUCAGCUCCACAACCCCAGCACUGGAGGAAGGGGAAGGUGACUCCAGGCCUCCUCCUGGCCCAGCCGAGGAGAACAUUCCAUCCUUUUUCAUGACCCAGGUGGAGGAUGUGCCCAGACCCCUGCUGAGACCUGUGGCGGAGGGCAGGCUGGAGAAGAGGAGUGAGCAGAGGCAGGGAGGAAGGUCUCAGGUGGUUCCAGAGCAAUGCAAAGGCUACAAGGAGCCGCUCGGUGGAGAUUUUAUUGAGCCAGUUGGUGAGUGAAGGUGGCAGAGGGCUCCUGCUUAGAAAAGAUGAUGAGCACUAUGGUCCACUCUGACCAAGAAAGAAUUAUAGAAUGGUUAGAGUUGGAAGGGACCUUAAAGACCAGUGAGUUCCAACUCCCCUGCCCUGGGCAGGGACACCUCCCACUAGAGCAGGUUGCUCAAAGCCCCAUCCCAAAGACCCCCUCAAAGCUUUGAAGAAGCAAGCAGCAAAGGCUUUUGUUGUCCCAUUUUCCUUCUGGUUCACAGGGAUGCAGAAGAACGUGCAGGGGUUGUACGACAUCCUGAAGCCCCCCCGGGUUUACCGGGAUGCCAAGCCAGG